RNAcentral lists this ribosomal RNA (164 nucleotides) under uncultured eukaryote. RNAcentral describes it as "partial small subunit ribosomal RNA". It matches the Rfam family "Eukaryotic small subunit ribosomal RNA", at positions 1661 to 1828 of the family's 1831-position model. The record is from RNAcentral.
GGUACACACCGCCCGUCGCUCCUAUCGAUUGAAUUAUCCGAUGAAUUGUAAGGAGGAUGGAUAAGGUAGCAAUAUCUUGUUUGUCCAAAUUACAAUAAAUCUUAUAAUUUAGAGGAAGGAGAAGUCGUAACAAGGUAACCGUAGGUGAACCUGCAGAAGGAUCA